Nephila pilipes (giant wood spider) is the source of this 745-nucleotide non-coding RNA. The record is from the annotation of a GenBank genome assembly. Lineage: Eukaryota; Metazoa; Arthropoda; Arachnida; Araneae; Nephilidae.
GUCACGGGGGAUCAGGGAUCAAUUCCGGAGAAGGAGUCUGAAAAACGGCUACCGCAUCCAAGGAAGGCAGCAGUUGUGCAAAUUACCCAACCCCUUCUCGGGAAAGUAGUGAUGGGAAAAAAAAACGAUGCAAGACUUUUUCCAUACCCCGUGAUUGGAAUGAUGAUUGCAAUGUAAAGAAUGAAAAGUAUCAAUUGGAGGGCAAGUCUGGUGACGGCAGCUGCAAUAAUUCCGACUCCAAUAGCGUCCAUUUAAUUUGUUGCGGUUGAAAAGCUCGGAGUCGGAUCUCAGUUCGGAAUGGAGGGUCGGCCGAAAGGCUGCAGACCUUUCCGUUUGCCGGCGUAUGGCCGAUUUCCGGGGAUGAUCUUUGCCGGUUGUACCUGGAGUCUGGGUAGUUUACUUUGAAGAAAAAAAAUACGAAAAAUAAGAGUGCUCAGAGCAAGUCUAGAUAAUGGUGCAUGAAAUAAUAGAAUGGGACCUCAAUUCUAUUGAGUUGGUUUUCGAAACUCGAGCUAGUGAUCAAAAGGGACAGACAGGGUAUUCGUACUGCGACGCUAGAGGUGGAAUUCCUAGACUGUCGCAUGACGAACGACUGCGAAAGUAUUCGUCAAGAAUGUUUUCAUUGACCCAAAGUGAAAGUCGGACGUUCGAAGGUAAUCAGAAACCACCCUAGUUCUGAUCAUAAACUAUACCAGCCAGCAAUCCGGUUGUGUUUCAGAAACGACACACCGGGCAGCUUCUGUGA